AGAGUUUGAUCCUGGCUCAGGAUGAACGCUAGCUACAGGCUUAACACAUGCAAGUCGAGGGGCAGCAUGGUCUUAGCUUGCUAAGACCGAUGGCGACCGGCGCACGGGUGAGUAACGCGUAUCCAACCUGCCUUACACUCUUGGACAGCCUUCUGAAAGGGAGAUUAAUACAAGAUGUUAUCAUGAGUAAGCAUUUUCACAUGAUUAAAGGUUUACCGAUGUAAGAUGGGGAUGCGUUCCAUUAGAUAGUAGGCGGGGUAACGGCCACCUAGUCUUCGAUGGAUAGGGGUUCUGAGAGGAAGGUCCCCCANAUUGGAACUGAGACACGGUCCAAACUCCUACGGGAGGCA
RNAcentral lists this ribosomal RNA (350 nucleotides) under uncultured bacterium. RNAcentral describes it as "bacterial SSU rRNA". It matches the Rfam family "Bacterial small subunit ribosomal RNA", at positions 8 to 350 of the family's 1533-position model. The record is from RNAcentral.